RNAcentral lists this ribosomal RNA (399 nucleotides) under uncultured bacterium. RNAcentral describes it as "partial 16S ribosomal RNA". It matches the Rfam family "Bacterial small subunit ribosomal RNA", at positions 360 to 776 of the family's 1533-position model. The record is from RNAcentral.
AAUAUUGGACAAUGGGGGCAACCCUGAUCCAGCAAUGCCGCGUGAGUGAUGAAGGCCUUAGGGUUGUAAAGCUCUUUUACCAGGGAUGAUAAUGACAGUACCUGGAGAAUAAGCUCCGGCUAACUCCGUGCCAGCAGCCGCGGUAAUACGGAGGGCGCUAGCGUUGUUCGGAAUUACUGGGCGUAAAGCGCACGUAGGCGGUUACUCAAGUCAGAGGUGAAAGCCCGGGGCUCAACCCCGGAACUGCCUUUGAAACUAGGUAACUAGAAUCCUGGAGAGGUGAGUGGAAUUCCGAGUGUAGAGGUGAAAUUCGUAGAUAUUCGGAAGAACACCAGUGGCGAAGGCGGCUCACUGGACAGGUAUUGACGCUGAGGUGCGAAAGCGUGGGGAGCAAACAGG